This is a non-coding RNA of Trichonephila inaurata madagascariensis, 73 nucleotides long. The record is from the annotation of a GenBank genome assembly. Lineage: Eukaryota; Metazoa; Arthropoda; Arachnida; Araneae; Nephilidae.
GGGGGCGUAGCUCUGAUGGUAGAGCGCUCGCUUGGAAUGCGAGAGGUACGGUUAUCGAUACCCCGCGCCUCCA